Molecule: long non-coding RNA, 548 nt
Organism: Cyprinus carpio (common carp)
Lineage: Eukaryota; Metazoa; Chordata; Actinopteri; Cypriniformes; Cyprinidae
Source: Ensembl
UUAGUGCAGCUGAAUGGAUCCGUGUGUGUGUGUGUGUGUGUGUGUGUGUGUGUGUGUGUGUGUGUGUGUGUGUGUGUGACAGACUCCUCUCAGUUCUCAUGCUGGCAAAUGAAAUGAACUGUAAUGAUCCUCAGGACACACACACAUACACACGCACACACACACACACACACACACACACACACACACACAGGGAACGGCUUUCACUAAUGUGCUGAACUCUGACGAGAACAUUCAACACAUCAAAGUCUUAUUAACACACUACAUGAAUGAUUUUCUAAACUAGUUUUGUUUUGGUGUUGUAGUCAAAUAUCUAAACAUUCUUCAUUCAGAGGCUGUCGAUGACAUCAUCCUGCAGUCUGAGCGCGUGCAGAAGAAGCCCCUCCCACCGCGCGGCUGAUAAAAUACAGUAUCUUCGUCCGUCGGGAUGCAAACAGCCGCUGUGCAGAUGUUCAGACACCUGAGCGCUCAUCUGAAAAUCCUGCUAUUAACCCCUUCAACCCUCACCCCGCUCCAGCAGCGUCCGUCAAGGAUACACGUGUGAACAC